Long non-coding RNA from Penaeus indicus, 362 nucleotides. RefSeq lists it as uncharacterized. The record is from RefSeq and is a predicted model, not a curated record. Lineage: Eukaryota; Metazoa; Arthropoda; Malacostraca; Decapoda; Penaeidae. The transcript is spliced from 3 exons.
GUGGGAGGAUGUGCGUUGUCCCGUUCCUCAAAUCCCAGAAAAAGAGAAUGGCAACAUUUUAUGGUUUUAGAAGCGACUUUUGAAGUUUAAAAAAUAAAGGUGAACAGCUUACGAAAUAAAUAAAAGGCGAAAAAAUCAAAAGAUAUUUCCAAAAAUAAAUGAACUUCGAACGAGUGCAGACGGAUCGUGAAUGCCCGCCGAAUGUGAAGUGAGUGCGAAGCCGAAGACACUUCAGCGCAAAAGAAUUUGGGAAGGAAACUUCAUGUAAAUAACAGGAGCAAAAUGGCCCUCCUCUUCGCCGGUGCGGACACAGGACAGGUUCCGACGAGUCACUGGAAGCUCAAUUCAGUCCGAAAACAGAG